GAAUUCUUAGCUCAGUCACUUGAGCAUGGCGCUAACAAGGCCAAGGACACGGGUUCGAUUCCCGUUGGGUCCC
RNAcentral lists this transfer RNA (73 nucleotides) under Apaloderma vittatum (bar-tailed trogon). It matches the Rfam family "tRNA". From Rfam's summary of the family: Transfer RNA (tRNA) molecules are approximately 80 nucleotides in length. Their secondary structure includes four short double-helical elements and three loops (D, anti-codon, and T loops). Lineage: Eukaryota; Metazoa; Chordata; Aves; Trogoniformes; Trogonidae. The record is from Rfam by way of RNAcentral.